Manis pentadactyla (Chinese pangolin) is the source of this 2911-nucleotide RNA transcript. It is a transcript of the gene named anthrax toxin receptor-like, with no coding region annotated. Lineage: Eukaryota; Metazoa; Chordata; Mammalia; Pholidota; Manidae. The record is from RefSeq and is a predicted model, not a curated record. The transcript is spliced from 15 exons.
CCAGACAGCAGAUUCAAAUCCCUCCAAAUGUACCUACAUAUUUAACUUUAUUUUGCUAAAAUACUAAGAGAGGUUUAGGUGAGUGGAGAGUUUAUGAUAUGAUUUCAAAAUUUACAUGAAAGAGCAAGUGGGUUUCCAUGGAGGAAAGUCAGCCCAUGCCCACUCAGACAUCUCUGAAUUUCUAGUCCACAGAACCUGUGAGCAUAUGAAAUUGUUCUGUUUAAUGUCCCUAGGUCUGGGAUGGUUCAGUACUCAGCAGCAGAUAAGUGGAAUGCCCCUCAUUCACAAAGGACACUGGCCUGCUUUCACAACCUUCUUCCAGAUCCUUCUAUCCCUUGGGUGACUUCAGUGUCCCCACAGAUAAACUUUACAGCACUCUUGUCUCCAGCUGCUCACACUCAGUGAUGUCCGUAUGUCGGCCCCCUUAGCUGCCCUCUUUCAGUUUACCAAAGGGCUGGGUUUCCUUGAAAUUGUAAAGACCCUGGGAGGGUUUGGGAUAAGGGACAGAUGAAGGCCUCAUCUGACCACCCCUUCAAACUCCUGCCUGGGGUUGCCCACAGGGAGAACAGUGAGCAGAGCUGCAGUUCACAAGGUCACCAUGGCAACCUAUUGUCCAUCAUAAGGGACAUACCUCAGCAGGGUGGGGUGAAGGUGCAUAAGUAGUGGGGCCAUCACCCCACAGCCAACCACUUGCUACUUGGACCCACAGGGCAGGUAUCAGGUGGCUGCUUGCAGGUGCAAGAUAUAUUGAUUAAAGCGUGAGUAGAGCUGAGGUUGGGAGUGCCGAGGACCCUGAGCACGGGAGGAAGCAGAGGAGGUGUUGGCUUGAGAUGGCCUGAAGUUUAUGGGCCCCAGGAUGCUGGGUCCCAUGUACGCCAUCUUCCUGCUGCUGCUGCUGCCGUCUCCGCUCCUGACCACCAGGAGCACCCCCAACCCCUCCGUCACCCAGGACCAAGGUCACCACCCCAGCUCCAGGCUCCAGGAGAGCCCAGCAGAUGGGGAAUCCUGCUGGAGCACUUACGACCUGUACUUCGUCUUGGACUCAUCACACAGUGUAAAUGACAACUGGGAGUUCACACAGAGCUUUGUGCAGGAUUUGGUGAACAGAUUUAAAAACCCCAAACAGCGUAUGUCGUUCAUCACCUACUCGACACAUGGCCACAUCUACAUGAAGCUGACCUCGAACAGGAAAAAAAUAAACAAUGCUCUUGUCGAAUUGCUCAAUGUACGACCUACCGGAGCCAUAAAUAUGCAGCACGGAUUGGAAAAGGCCAAUGAGCAGAUCGAAAGAACACGAGCUGCAGGAGCGAAGGUACCCAGCCUCAUCAUUGUGCUGACAGGUGAACAACUGCUGGCAGAAUCGUUUGCAGAGACACAAGUUGAAGCUGCAAAAUCCAAGCAGUUGGGGGCAACUCUGUAUUUCGUGGGUGUGCAAAAUUAUCAGCUAUCCCAGCUAUUGGAAAUUGCUGGCGAAGAGGAUCAUGUGUUUGGAGUGGACAGUGGAUACAGUGGACUGGAAGACAUCGUUGACCCACUCAUAGCGAGGUCAUGUGUGCAGGUUACGUCUGUGGAUUUCUCCGCUAUCUGCACUAGAGAUAGAGAUGAAGUCAAGGUUUUUGGAAAAGGUUUUAAAAACAUACAGAAGGAUGAAGUUGUCUGUCAAUUUCGAAUUGGAAAGAAAACCGUAGGAAUAGAGGCUGUAUCUGUGCAAGAUACCUCUGUUACAUGUCCAGGACUGAAGAUAAAUAAUUGGGGCCGGGCCGUCUUCAUCGAUAUCAGCCUGAAUAAUGGCCUCUCCUUUAUCAAGACCGAUUUUGAUGUCAGCAGGAGGAACUGUGUGACUUCCAGGAAGGGGACCCCACCUGCCCUACUGGAUGCCGUAUCACCAACUGCGCAACAACGUGACCUUCCAGAUGCUGUGCCGGGAGACACACAGGAUAUUGGCCCAGAUAUAGGGUCUCCCGGUCCAGUUUUGUUCAAUUUCAACCCUCUCUUCUGCACUUUGCUUCUCCUGAUGCUGUUCUUUAUCCUGCUGAUGUACUGCAUCUGCCGAUGCUGCAUUCAAUGAUGGCUCUCUCCUAAGGGACAGGGAGCGACUCCUUGGUCCUUGAGUUCUCCCAGCAAACAUUGCAGAGUGGCCAGGAAGUGACAGGUGCAGGGCAACAGCUACAGCAUCCCUACCCCAGGAGCUGCCUGCAAGGAAGCAGACACUGUUUCCUCUUUCUAGAGCCUGGCGUCACCAGGACAGAAGUGCCGCACAGUAAUUAUGUCGUGUUGUAAUGAAGGCAAAACUACAAUGCAGACAGGUGAUUCUGCUGUCCCCCUGCUGACGCCCGUCGUGGACCAUCCUGCCGCACACAGCAUCAACCCAGCUGCCAUUGCUCCAUCCCCAGCAGCACGUGCUCAUGGUGCCAGGGUGCCCAACCUGCCCAGCUGAAUGAUGCCACUCAUACCUGCUGCAGCCUGGACGCUCCGGAAAGCCGCCCUGCAACUCUCACCCCAUAACACGAUCUCUACAGCACCAAAACCCCAAUAUUGUUUUUUUUUUAAUUUUGGUAUGAUUAAUAUACACUUAAAUGAGCAACAUUGUGGUUACUAGAUUCCCCCCAUUAUCAAGUCCCCACCACAUACCCCAUUACUGUCACUGUCCAUCAGCAUAGUAAGAUGCUAUAGAGUCACUGCUUGUCUUCUCUGUAAUGUACUGCCUUCCCCGUGCCCACCCCCUACAUUAUGUGUGCUGAUUGUAAUGCCCCUUUUGCCCCUUAUCCCUCCCUUCCCACCCAUCCUCCCCAGUCCCUUUCCCUUUGGUAACUGUUAGUCCAUUCUUGGGUUCUGUGAGUCUGCUGCGUUUUGUUCCUUCAGUUUUUUCUUUGUUCUUAUACUCCACAGAUGAGUGAAAUCAUUUGGUACU